AGAGUUUGAUCAUGGCUCAGAUUGAACGCUGGCGGCAUGCUUUACACAUGCAAGUCGAACGGCAGCGGGGGCUUCGGCCUGCCGGCGAGUGGCGAACGGGUGAGUAAUGCAUCGGAACGUACCCAGUCGUGGGGGAUAACACAUCGAAAGAUGUGCUAAUACCGCAUACGUCCUGAGGGAGAAAGCGGGGGCUCGCAAGACCUCGCGCGAUUGGAGCGGCCGAUGUCGGAUUAGCUAGUUGGUGGGGUAAAGGCCUACCAAGGCGACGAUCCGUAGCGGGUCUGAGAGGAUGAUCCGCCACACUGGGACUGAGACACGGCCCAGACUCCUACGGGAGGCAGCAGUGGGGAAUUUUGGACAAUGGGCGCAAGCCUGAUCCAGCCAUGCCGCGUGAGUGAAGAAGGCCUUCGGGUUGUAAAGCUCUUUCGGACGGGAAGAAAUCGUGGUGGCGAAUACCUGCCAUGGAUGACGGUACCGUAAGAAGAAGCACCGGCUAACUACGUGCCAGCAGCCGCGGUAAUUC
RNAcentral lists this ribosomal RNA (523 nucleotides) under uncultured bacterium. RNAcentral describes it as "bacterial SSU rRNA". It matches the Rfam family "Bacterial small subunit ribosomal RNA", at positions 8 to 526 of the family's 1533-position model. The record is from RNAcentral.